CACCUUGUGGUGUAGUUGGCUAUCACGUUCGGCUGUAAAUGUCUCAUUCAUAUACCGAACGGUCACCGGCUCGAUUCCGGUCGAGGGGA
Molecule: transfer RNA, 89 nt
Filed under: Cercophora newfieldiana
Lineage: Eukaryota; Fungi; Ascomycota; Sordariomycetes; Sordariales; Lasiosphaeriaceae
Description: tRNA-Tyr
Source: RNAcentral